Molecule: long non-coding RNA, 5873 nt
Filed under: Equus caballus (horse)
Lineage: Eukaryota; Metazoa; Chordata; Mammalia; Perissodactyla; Equidae
Description: lncRNA (ENSECAG00000052573.1)
Source: RNAcentral
GGAUCACGCAUCUUACGGCUUGACGAUCAAGGGGGGAAAGCCUGGGUCUUCAUAGAAAAGGAGAGGAGGCAAACGCAGCCCAAACUGGGGGGUUUCUCUUCAAAGCCAGCUGGUCUGGCUUUAUUCUACAGGAAUUUUUUUACCUGUCAGAGUUUGGACAACAAAGCCCUCAGCAGGUGCUGACGGGUACAACUUCCUGGAGAAGCAGAAAGGCACUGAAAACUUUGGAAGAGAAGUUCAUCUAAAGGAGUAACACGAUGAUAGUGAAGUGAGUUGUUGGAGUGGCUGCGUCCUCUGACAGAACAUAGUCCAGGAGAAUUGUGGGACAUGAAGAGGCUGCUGAGGAAGAAAAGGACCUUGAGAGUCACAUCAGUGAAAGGCCAUGAGGAGACAGAGGCACUCAAUAAAGAGCUGUUAUUGAUUUUACAAAUUGCUGCUGGGUGAGUGGAGCAUGCCAGAGGGAAGGAAGGACAAGUUGAAGGUGAGGAUAGGGAAGUUGAUGAUACAAAGGCAAAUUUCAGCAGCCUUACACUGUUGCCCACACCACACAGAUAAGAUCAAUGUAGAAGGACUUAAAAACUCAGACUUACUAGGAAGCCACUAAUUCUAUAUAUUUAUGCUAAGGUUCCUUAAAUUUAAGUGUAAGAUUAUGUAAUCAAUAAGCAACUUAGAAGAUGUCUGAUGUAACUAAAAAAUAAAAUCUUGGAGCCCUAUUCUGGACAAAUGGAUAUAUAAUUAUUUUCAUAAGUCUGAUAAAAUCAAAUAUGAAUACAAAAAGAAAGUUUCUCUGCAAAGAAUAUUAUAUGAACACUGACAAGGAUAAUAUACAUUGGCAACUCCACAAUGUAAGACUUCUUGGUAUAAUAUAUAUUGGUUUAAUCAACAUAUAUAUUUUAUAUUUAUUUCAAAUAUAAAAUGCUCUAUUAUGAAAUAAAACUGCUUUGAAGCGUGAAAGCUGAUCGAGAAGAAGACAUCUGCUAAAAUAUUGUUAGAUAACUGAGCUAUUGAGAGGUUUUUCAGGAAUAUGGGAUAGCCUUGAAAGUGAAACAGUACAAUGAUAGCUAAUAUUUAUUAAGCAUUUUCCACUUGCCAGGCACUAAACAGCUAUAGGAAUACAAUUUCAUGUCCUCCUCUCAGCAAAAUUAUCAUCCUGGGGAGGUCCUGCCACUUUCCCCAUUUUACUACAAGGAUAUUUACAAAAUUAAACUCACGUGGUUAUUAAGCGUCUGAGCCUGGAAUCUAACCCAGGGUCUCUGAUUGACCCUUUCCUCCCUGCUGUGCAUUCUUUGAAAAGGUAUUUCCCACGGUGUUCCCACAUGAUGUGUAACUUUUAAUUAGUGAAAACGACUUUUUAAAAAAUUAUCAGAACUUUUGAGUGUUACUCGCCAAAAUAUCUCCUUAAAGGCUACAAAUUCCCAUCAGGAACACCUGUGAAAUGCCUCUUUUGUAUCUUCCAUUAGUGUCAGUUUAUGAGCCAGUAUCAAAUAAUCUGCUGCUCCAUAACCACAUCACAGCUUCCAUCAAGCACCUUUUUCACUACAUUUGGUUUGGAUUUUGUUUCAGCAACCAAUUCAUCCCUAAUUAUAAUGAUUUGCCAACAAUGAGACUGUUAAGACUGCAUAGCAAAUUCCUAAGGAGAUUUCUAUAGACACUCCCGCAGACAACAUUACUGAGAAGUCUAUCUAAAAGUCUGUCUAAAGGUUGUUGUUUGGAUAAAAAGAAAUAAAGUUUGUAAGGCAGUUAAUACAACUAAAUGAACUAACGCAGUUAAUAGUGAGUGGCCAUUAAAUGUUAGGCACUUUGAACUCAUCUCUUUCAACCCAUAUUCUAAUAAGAUAGAACUAUUUUUGCACGUAUACUACAAAUAUCAUUGUAUUGCAAAUAUGAAUAUUGAUAUAGAAAUAUUUAACUACAAAUUUAGUUAAAAACAUUACUAUUUAUAGGCAAUCCGACCUUUUUGGUUUGUGUCUUUGACUCAAUGAACUAGUAUACACAGAUAAAACAAACUGGUUUUAAUCACCGACUUAAAUUUAAAGUUUUAUUGCAUUUUACUUUUAAUUCUCCCCAUAUUCCAAAUCAUCUGGAGAGACUUCAUCUUAAACCAUGAAAAGUAAUUCUAUCUUUCCCUAGUAAGUUAAAAUAUGCAUAUAAUUAUGUAUCUCCUUAUUUUUAAUUCUAGUAUGUACUGGAAGUAUAUAAAUAUAUGCAUGAUCUUGCCUUCUUGAAAACAUGAAAAUUUUAUAUUAUUUUGCUUGGUGUGAAAUUUCAAAUUAUAAAUAAAAUAUUUUAGAAAUAAUUUUGUAAGUUCUCAGCUAAGUAAAAUACCAUCAUUUGGAAAAAUUACCUAAAGAGAGGAAAAGAGGUACAUUUUGCUGUGUGGUAGCUUUAUUCUCUCUUUUCUAGACUUCUUUGUCUUAACUUGGUGUUCUUAACAAGGAGAGUUAGCACGAAUAUCAGAUACAAAUUGUUUAACAUUCUCUGAGUCUGUUUUUUCCUGUAACACGUACUUGUAGCAAUCAUGAAAUCAAUAGGAAUCAUGCACAUCCUAACUGGGGACUUUACUAAAAAAAUGUAAAACCAAAAAUGCAAAAUGUCUAUGGCUUCUGUUUGUCAAGAAUUGGUAAAGAGUCCCCUAGAUAUAGCUGUAAUGUUGAGCACGCAUGCCACACAGAACGACUUCUAGGUCCCUCUCGAACAGAAUGCUCCAUUAGGCAUUCCACGGGCUCCCCCUUCCCAGCAGGCCUCUGCCCAGCCCAGUUGCCAUAGAUGGCCGUCAGACACUUGGAAUGACAUCAGGAGAUAAUCUGAGCAGGCUCUGCCCUAAAGAAUUCAAGCUAGCAGGAGACUGAAGAUAUCGAUGUCUUCUUGGCUGACAACAGCAUUCCAAAGGUCAACCAGGGUGAAAAGAGGAUGGACUUGGAGCUUCCAGUGCCUUUUCAACAACCAAGCAGCUAAGAAGUAUAAGGAAGCUUCCCUGAAGGAAAAAAUAAAUAAAGACAAAAGAAGCCUGAAAGUAUCCUAAAGGUGCCAUGGCUAUGAAAGGAAAAUAAGGCAAGCUAUUCCCAUGAAGUCAGAGAAUUUUAGGACUGAUGACAUCUCUACUUUUUCAAGGUAAAACUCACCAACAGUUCUCAUCCUGAACCAAUUCCUACCACUCUGACAACCUACUUCUCCAACAUUUUCUGCUGUGACAGCCCCAGGAUGGGUGAAUAUGGAACUUAUCGGUAUAGAAGUAGAAAUUCUUCAGGAGAAUAAGCAUGGCUAACUUUCGCUGCAGUUUUCCACUUUUCCAGCCCCGUGCGCUACGUUAAAUAGCUGUUUUAAUCCUCGUAACAAAGUUUCGAGAGUAUGUUCCACAUUUUACAGAUGAAGGAACUGAGGCAAAGGGAAGUUCAGAAACUUCUGUAUAAUCCUACAGCCACCACAUGAUAGAGCCAACUGGCUCAGCCACACGGCUUCUUCCUAUGAGACCAGCCUUUUCACUAGGCAGCCAUGGAUGGGUUGAGGCUUCUACCUCAUCUGUAAGCACUUGAAGAAUUAAAAAAUUUUCUCUUAGGUUAUUAGAUUUCAGACAGAAUGAGAACACCUUCUAUCACGAACCACAUGCAAAUCGUAACUUAGGAGAAAGACAAUAAUUCAAAUAUGCAUUGGCUCAGGAGAAAUCCAAGAUUUAAAAAGCAUUUUACUGUUAUUGUUUUAAAAUUAUUUAUCAUUCAUGAGUAUUCUUAUCUGAACGCUUAAGGGUCCUUACUAAGGGUUAACUUAAAAACUAAUUACCAUAAAUGGCCAGAAUUAAUACUGACAUUUCACCUCCAGAUAACAAUAAGAAAUAUAAGGGAUAACCAUGGCAAAAACCAACCAACCAAAUAAAACACUGAAGUUAGAAAGUUUCUGCUUUGUCUCUAAGUCUUUAUGAUAUGUUCUGUCGCCUUAUAUGUCUCAGACAGUGUAAUCUGUAAUGAAGUUUUGUUCAAGUUUUUAACAUUUCUGGUCAAAUGCCGCCUGAGUGAUAUCAGUCUAAGACAUAAUGAAUGGAUCUGAUAAUAUGUUCAUCGAAUUUGAGGAAGAUUAUGCUUUGCUAACAAUUCUCACCUCGUGGAACACCUUUCCUCCCUGACCUUAAGAGUGUUUAGUUCUUACUUUAAAAGGAUAAUUCCAUUUCCUCAGAAUCUGUUAAGUUUAAGUAAGCACAAUGUCAUCCCAAUUAGUCGCUUUCAAAAGGCAUUAUGUGAAUCUGUGACACUACCAAUAAGACAUCUUUAGUUUGGGAGAGAGUGUUAUCCCCCACGCACCUUCUUCUUUAUUAAAUGGGAUUUCUUCCUGGAGGAAUGAUUAGAUAUAUUUCCUCUUGCAAAAGAGCACUUUUUUGUCUAAAAUCUUCUGUCAGGUUACCUUUCUGUAAUUUGCCUAGCCGAUCCCACACAAGGUGCCCCGGGCUGGCACAAAGUGUGGCAGACCCUGUCAGGUGACCUUAGCUUCUUUCCAAAUUUAUGGCAUGAUUUUGGGAUGCAUCUCAACUUCUCUGAGCCUGACUUCCUUUCUCUGUAAAAGAAAAGUAGGUGCUUGUGUGUCUUCCCUAAGACCUCUUUCAGCAGGAAAAUACUGAAAUUCUGACUUUAAGACCUUCCACACCAGUGCCAAGCAAUGCAAAUGCAGCGAGUGUCCUAAAAUUUGGCUGGUAUCAUAAGGGCGCUUCUUUCUUUUUUUCUAACCAGCAUUCACUUAAACUCUAUAGCAGCACAGUCCAGUAGAACUUUAUGCAAUGAUGGAAAUGUUCAACAUCUCAAGUCGAAUAAGGUGGCCACUAGCCGGCCGUGGCUAUUGAGCACUUCAAAUGCGGCUAGUGUAAUUAAAGAACUGAACUUUAAGUUUUAUUUAAUUUUGAUUAACUUAAAGAGCCACUUGCGGCUAGCCGCUGCCAUAUCAGUAGCAGCUUAGAGCUUCAAGAACAUGACAAUACAAACCCGAGCACUCUACGAUGCCUCUGGAGCACAGAUCUUUCGCCCACCCUUGGUACAGCUCCACAGACAGAUCACAGAACAGCACAGGCAUUUGCAUUUAGUGAUGGCAUUUCGGCAAGAGAGCCAGGCACUGCUCUCGCGUGCUAACAAAUAAAGGGGGGUGGAAAGGGAAAGGAAGUUUUGGGGGGUUUUGUGGGUUUUCUCCCUAGUAUCCCAAUUCUCCUUGUAGUUUGUGGCCUUUCCCCAGCCAAGACGCGCACAUAUCCACAGAGGGAGCUGAACUACUAGAGCCAGCGAUUGGCUGUUAGUUUUUAAAAUAAUCCUGUAAACCCUGAGCGCUUGGGCUAUCAAAUCCAGCCACCCGGGACCCGUCCUUUCCUCUAGGCCUGUCAGGUGAAACAUCAGGCAGGCUGGCGCGGGACAGGGGCGGCGGCCGGACCUGCGCGAGCCACUCUCGUUCUCCUAGGCUCGCAAAACGCUCGCAGCACUGCGGGCAGCCUGUGCCGCCGGAGGCGGAGCGCGUGCCAGCGCUUUGUGCACUGUGCGGGGGUGGGUUCAUUAUGUGCCUCGCUCCGACCUCAUGCCCUGCUCUUUGAGAUGGUCUUUCGCCACCCUAGGGGAAACAUCCCCAAGAUCCCCAAACCCGACCAGCACGGCAACUCCCCUGACACAGCCACCGCCCGUUUCCAAAGCCCACCCACCACCGCUGCGCCCUCCUCCCUUCCCCAAGAGACCACCACGCGGCCUCUUCGCAAAGCCACCGGCCGCUUUCCCCCAAACCGUGACCCGACCUUUCUAGACACAACCCGGCACCGCGCCCCCGCCCCUCCCCGCGGCCAGACAGCCCGGCCCUCCCUCCGCGCCCCCAGGCCCAGCAGGCCCCCAGCAAGGCCCCGAGCCGCCUCCUCCUCG